This 496-nucleotide ribosomal RNA is filed under the name uncultured bacterium. RNAcentral describes it as "partial 16S ribosomal RNA". It matches the Rfam family "Bacterial small subunit ribosomal RNA", at positions 29 to 507 of the family's 1533-position model. The record is from RNAcentral.
ACGAACGCUGGCGGCGUGCCUAAUACAUGCAAGUUGAGCGCUGAAGGUUGGUACUUGUACCAACUGGAUGAGCAGCGAACGGGUGAGUAACGCGUGGGGAAUCUGCCUUUGAGCGGGGGACAACAUUUGGAAACGAAUGCUAAUACCGCAUAAAAACUUUAAACACAAGUUUUAAGUUUGAAAGAUGCAAUUGCAUCACUCAAAGAUGAUCCCGCGUUGUUUUAGCUAGUUGGUGAGGUAAAGGCUCACCAAGGCGAUGAUACAUAGCCGACCUGAGAGGGUGAUCGGCCACAUUGGGACUGAGACACGGCCCAAACUCCUACGGGAGGCAGCAGUAGGGAAUCUUCGGCAAUGGACGAAAGUCUGACCGAGCAACGCCGCGUGAGUGAAGAAGGUUUUCGGAUCGUAAAACUCUGUUGGUAGAGAAGAACGUUGGUGAGAGUGGAAAGCUCAUCAAGUGACGGUAACUACCCAGAAAGGGACGGCUAACUACGUG